UACAGAAGAUACGAUUGAUUAAGAAGGAAGAAAAGGGACUGUUAACUGCUGCCCUCAGAUUUUAAGACGGAGCCUUCAGCCAAUUACUGUCGCGGAAAGCGAUUUAACAUCAUCAAACGACGCGUGCUUCAUUCUUAAGCUUGUCAAUCAGCUCAUCUACAGAGGACACGAGAACUCCCGUUUUUCUCUUGGGAGGUUCAGUUACUUUAACGACCUCUAUAUCGGACUUGAUCUCGACUUUCAAAUCCUCUGGAGUAAGUUUCUUUAUGACCUUUGACUUUGCCUUCAUUAUGUUAGGAAGCGUUGCAUAUCUUGGCUGGUUCAAUCGCAAAUCAGCACUGCAGAAGGGAGAAGUAAUGCAAGUGUUCAGAAGCAAGGACAAAACCAAGUGAUAAAAUGUUGGCAAGCACAACCAUGGUUCAUAUGAAGUUGAACGGUAUAAUGAUUUCCCUUCAUCUGUGUUAAAGGCUCUAAAGUACAGAAACUGCUCAAAGCGAUGAUGGAAUAGCUUUAUAAUUGUGAUAGAGUAUGCCCUGAUUCCAUGAGCAGAACCAAAGGAUAUAAUCAGCAUAGGAUCACGACCUGUGACCUGUCAUGCACUUCAGGAUUAAAGAAUUAAGCGCAUCUGCCAGCAAUUCUUUCUUCACACUAAUCUAGAAAUGCUCCAUCGAAAACAAACAAGAAUAAACAUAACAAACUGAAUCACGACAAGUCAGUGUUUUCAGCUUUCCUUUGGAACUCCUGUCAGUUCCUCUAAAAUGAUUCACAGAAACAGCACAAGUUUCUCCUUUAGGACAAAAAACCGCAGGAAAACAAAACACACACACACACACACACACAUAGACAUACAUGUGCUUUUCGUUUGUCAUGUGAAACUAUUGUGUAUGGUCCUUUAGAAAGAAGUAUAAAUUAUAAUCCUCAAGCCACUCAUAAACA
Molecule: long non-coding RNA, 936 nt
Filed under: Coffea arabica (coffee)
Lineage: Eukaryota; Viridiplantae; Streptophyta; Magnoliopsida; Gentianales; Rubiaceae
Description: long non-coding RNA (CARA_LNC002105)
Source: RNAcentral